Molecule: long non-coding RNA, 827 nt
Organism: Schistocerca serialis cubense
Lineage: Eukaryota; Metazoa; Arthropoda; Insecta; Orthoptera; Acrididae
Exons: 3
Source: RefSeq, a predicted model, not a curated record
UCAAUUUUCACUCUAGCAGAAGGUAGUUUCGGACUUUGCCGAUUAUUACAAAUGAGGCCUUAUCACUGAAGUUUGUAACAUCCGAUAUCAGCGGAUAACUGCCAUUGCAUUUAGCGACAGCUGUAAACAGAAUGGCAGAAGAACCUUUUGAGAGGACGGAAAAGAAACCCGAGCCUGUCAGCAUUACCUCCCCUGAAAUGUAAGAAACUGGUGGAUUCCAAGACAAAAUUGUGGAAAAUGGAGACAUCUUCAAAUAACAGAAAGAAAUAAAGGCUGAAGGGGCAGGAUCACAGAUGUCAGAUGAAAGUUACCGCAAAAAAGGUUAAGUUGGAAAAGAGUGAAAAUGAAAAUGGAUGCUUGUGCAGUGACUGAAGUUGAAGUCAUAAAUUGAGGAUGAUGAAGCUACACGAAAAAGCUCUCAGCUCUACAGUCCGAGUCUGACCGACUUGUCCGACGAGCCACUGUCGGCGGCACUGCGAUCGCAGGCCCCUCACGGUGUGCGCUUACUCAGGCAAGUGUCGCGGGGAUUUGUUAAUGUAGAGGCUGACUGUACGCUGUAGGUGUCUGCAGACUUCCAUCAUUAGAGGAACAGUUCUAUGAACAGUACAUGCCAUUCUUGGGAGUGUGGACCACUUCGUUGGUUACUCGAGUUCCUCAUCUGACCCCAGAACUGUCAUUUACUGCAGCUAGGCAUUUAGCACUAAUAAAAUGUGAGUUACAUAAAAUGGAAGUGUCCGACAUAUCAGCAGCCGUGAAGAUAUGAAAAUUUAAAGGUAUCUCCAUUUUGAGCAGUACAAACUUUAGAAUUAUUAUUCUAAUUUGUUAAU